UGGGGAAUAUUGCACAAUGGAGGGAACUCUGAUGCAGCGACGCCGCGUGAACGAAGAAGGCUUUCGAGUCGUAAAGUUCUUUUAUAUGGGAAGAUAAUGACGGUACCAUAAGAAAAAGCCCCGGCUAACUACGUGCCAGCAGCCGCGGUAAUACGUAGUGGGCUAGCGUUGUCCGGAAUCACUGGGCGUAAAGGGUUCGCAGGCGGAAAUGCAAGUCAGGUGUAAAAGGCAGUAGCUUAACUACUGUAAGCAUUUGAAACUGCAUAUCUUGAGAAGAGUAGAGGUAAGUGGAAUUUUUAGUGUAGCGGUGAAAUGCGUAGAUAUUAAAAAGAAUACCGGUGGCGAAGGCGACUUACUGGGCUCAUUCUGACGCUGAGGAACGAAAGCGUGGGUAGCAAACAGG
RNAcentral lists this ribosomal RNA (403 nucleotides) under bacterium. Its description in RNAcentral is "partial 16S ribosomal RNA". It matches the Rfam family "Bacterial small subunit ribosomal RNA", at positions 355 to 776 of the family's 1533-position model. RNAcentral also lists the same sequence under 1 other name. The record is from RNAcentral.